Molecule: ribosomal RNA, 358 nt
Filed under: uncultured bacterium
Lineage: Bacteria
Description: bacterial SSU rRNA
Rfam family: Bacterial small subunit ribosomal RNA
Source: RNAcentral
AAUCAACGCUGGCGGCGUGCCUCAGACAUGCAAGUCGAACGCGAAAGUUCCCUUCGGGGGGCGAGUAGAGUGGCGCACGGGUGAGUAACACGUAGGUAAUCUACCUUUGGGUGGGGAAUAACAGCCGGAAACGGCUGCUAAUACCGCAUAAUGCAGCGGCUCGACAUCGAGACAGUUGUUAAAGCGGGGGAUCGCAAGACCUCGCGCCUAAAGAGGAGCCUGCGGCGGAUUAGCUUGUUGGUGAGGUAAUGGCUCACCAAGGCAUCGAUCCGUAGCCGGCCUGAGAGGGCGGUCGGCCACACUGACACUGACAUACGGGUCAGACUCCUACGGGAGGCAGCAGUCGGGAAUUUUGGGC